RNAcentral lists this unclassified non-coding RNA (378 nucleotides) under uncultured Gammaproteobacteria bacterium. Its description in RNAcentral is "contains 16S-23S intergenic spacer region". Lineage: Bacteria; Pseudomonadati; Pseudomonadota; Gammaproteobacteria. The record is from RNAcentral.
UCCGGUUUGUCACCGGCAGUCUCCUUAGAGUUCCCGCCAUUACGCGCUGGCAACUAAGGACAAGGGUUGCGCUCGUUACGGGACUUAACCCAACAUCUCACGACACGAGCUGACGACAGCCAUGCAGCACCUGUCUCUAGGUUCCCGAAGGCACCCUCUCAUCUCUGAAAGGUUCCUAGGAUGUCAAGACCUGGUAAGGUUCUUCGCGUUGCAUCGAAUUAAACCACAUGCUCCACCGCUUGUGCGGGCCCCCGUCAAUUCAUUUGAGUUUUAACCUUGCGGCCGUACUCCCCAGGCGGUCGACUUAUCGCGUUAGCUGCGCCACUAAGUCCUCAAGGAACCCAACGGCUAGUCGACAUCGUUUACGGCGUGGACUAC